This 1368-nucleotide ribosomal RNA is filed under the name uncultured bacterium. Its description in RNAcentral is "bacterial SSU rRNA". It matches the Rfam family "Bacterial small subunit ribosomal RNA". The record is from RNAcentral.
AGAGUUUGAUCCUGGCUCAGGACGAACGCUGGCGGCGCGCCUAACACAUGCAAGUCGAACGAGCGAGAGAGAGCUUGCUUUCUCAAGCGAGUGGCGAACGGGUGAGUAACGCGUGAGGAACCUGCCUCAAAGAGGGGGACAACAGUUGGAAACGACUGCUAAUACCGCAUAAGCCCACAGCUCGGCAUCGAGCAGAGGGAAAAGGAGCAAUCCGCUUUGAGAUGGCCUCGCGUCCGAUUAGCUAGUUGGUGAGGUAAUGGCCCACCAAGGCGACGAUCGGUAGCCGGACUGAGAGGUUGAACGGCCACAUUGGGACUGAGACACGGCCCAGACUCCUACGGGAGGCAGCAGUGGGGAAUAUUGCACAAUGGGGGAAACCCUGAUGCAGCGACGCCGCGUGGAGGAAGAAGGUCUUCGGAUUGUAAACUCCUGUUGUUGAGGAAGAUAAUGACGGUACUCAACAAGGAAGUGACGGCUAACUACGUGCCAGCAGCCGCGGUAAAACGUAGGUCACAAGCGUUGUCCGGAAUUACUGGGUGUAAAGGGAGCGCAGGCGGGAAGACAAGUUGGAAGUGAAAUCUAUGGGCUCAACCCAUAAACUGCUUUCAAAACUGUUUUUCUUGAGUAGUGCAGAGGUAGGCGGAAUUCCCGGUGUAGCGGUGGAAUGCGUAGAUAUCGGGAGGAACACCAGUGGCGAAGGCGGCCUACUGGGCACCAACUGACGCUGAGGCUCGAAAGUGUGGGUAGCAAACAGGAUUAGAUACNCUGGUAGUCCACACCGUAAACGAUGAUUACUAGGUGUUGGAGGAUUGACCCCUUCAGUGCCGCAGUUAACACAAUAAGUAAUCCACCUGGGGAGUACGACCGCAAGGUUGAAACUCAAAGGAAUUGACGGGGGCCCGCACAAGCAGUGGAGUAUGUGGUUUAAUUCGACGCAAUGCGAAGAACCUUACCAAGUCUUGACAUCCCUUGACGAUGCUGGAAACAGUAUUUCUCUUCGGAGCAAGGAGACAGGUGGUGCAUGGUUGUCGUCAGCUCGUGUCGUGAGAUGUUGGGUUAAGUCCCGCAACGAGCGCAACCCUUACUGUCAGUUACUACGCAAGAGGACUCUGGCAGGACUGCCGUUGACAAAACGGAGGAAGGUGGGGAUGACGUCAAAUCAUCAUGCCCUUUAUGACUUGGGCUACACACGUACUACAAUGGCGUUAAACAAAGAGAAGCAAGACCGCGAGGUGGAGCAAAACUCAGAAACAACGUCCCAGUUCGGACUGCAGGCUGCAACUCGCCUGCACGAAGUCGGAAUUGCUAGUAAUCGUGGAUCAGCAUGCCCCGGUGAAUACGUUCCCGGGCCUGUACACACCGCCCGUC